ACUCCUACGGGAGGCAGCAGUGGGGAAUAUUGCACAAUGGGGAAACCCUGAUGCAGCCAUGCCGCGUGUGUGAAGAAGGCCUUCGGUUGUAAAGCACUUUCAGUAGGGAGGAAGGUAGUGUAGUUAACACCUGCAUUAUUUGACGUUACCUACAGAAGAAGCACCGGCUAACUCCGUGCCAGCAGCCGCGGUAAUACGGAGGGGUGCGAGCGUUAAUCGGAAUUACUGGGCGUAAAGCGCAUGCAGGCGGCCUGUUAAGUCAGAUGUGAAAGCCCGGGGGCUUAACCUCGGAAUUGCAUUUGAAACUGGCAGGCUAGAGUCUUGUAGAGGGGGUAGGAAUUUCAGGUGUAGCGGUGAAAUGCGUAGAGAUCUGAAGGAAUACCAGUGGCGAAGGCGGCCCCCUGGACAAAGACUGACGCUCAGAUGCGAAAGCGUGGGGAGGCAAACAGGAUUAGAUACCCUGGUAGACUGUCA
Molecule: ribosomal RNA, 474 nt
Filed under: uncultured bacterium
Lineage: Bacteria
Description: bacterial SSU rRNA
Rfam family: Bacterial small subunit ribosomal RNA
Source: RNAcentral